RNAcentral lists this ribosomal RNA (274 nucleotides) under uncultured bacterium. RNAcentral's name for it is "partial 16S ribosomal RNA". It matches the Rfam family "Bacterial small subunit ribosomal RNA", at positions 523 to 796 of the family's 1533-position model. The record is from RNAcentral.
AUACGGAGGGUGCAAGCGUUACUCGGAAUCACUGGGCGUAAAGCGCGCGCAGGCGGCUUGAUAAGUUGGAUGUGAAAGCCUACGGCUCAACCGUAGAACUGCAUCCAAAACUGUCAGGCUAGAGUGUGGGAGAGGAAGAUGGAAUUAGUUGUGUAGGGGUAAAAUCCGUAGAGAUAACUAGGAAUACCAAAAGCGAAGGCAAUCUUCUGGAACACUACUGACGCUGAGGCGCGAAGGCGUGCGGAGCAAACAGGAUUAGAAACCCCAGUAGUCC